This 164-nucleotide ribosomal RNA is filed under the name uncultured bacterium. RNAcentral's name for it is "partial 16S ribosomal RNA". It matches the Rfam family "Bacterial small subunit ribosomal RNA", at positions 355 to 511 of the family's 1533-position model. The record is from RNAcentral.
UAGGGAAUCUUCGGCAAUGGACGAAAGUCUGACCGAGCAACGCCGCGUGAGUGAAGAAGGUUUUCGGAUCGUAAAACUCUGUUGGUAGAGAAGAACGUUGGUGAGAGUGGAAAGCUCAUCAAGUGACGGUAACUACCCAGAAAGGGCGGCUAACUACGUGCCAG